RNAcentral lists this transfer RNA (77 nucleotides) under Promethearchaeota archaeon. Its description in RNAcentral is "Candidatus Lokiarchaeota archaeon (marine sediment metagenome) tRNA-Pro". It matches the Rfam family "tRNA". From Rfam's summary of the family: Transfer RNA (tRNA) molecules are approximately 80 nucleotides in length. Their secondary structure includes four short double-helical elements and three loops (D, anti-codon, and T loops). The record is from RNAcentral. Lineage: Archaea; Promethearchaeati; Promethearchaeota.
GGGUUGGUUGUCUAGCUUGGUAUGAUUCUUGCCUGGGGGGCGAAAGGUCGGGAGUUCAAAUCUUCCCCAACCCACCA